GGUGGGGCUUCACCACGUUGGCCAGGCUGGUCUUGAACUCCUGAGCUCAAGUGAUCUGCCUGCCUUGGCCUCCCAAAGUGCUGGGACUAUGGGCUUGAGCUACUGUGCCCAGCCGUGCCUGCCUCUUUAGACACAUCAAAAUCCGCCUCUGUGAUUUUUGCUUAUGGCCAUAUAGAGGCAAUUUGAGGUUCACCAACCACAAGGGAAGUAGCUCCCUGCCUUCAUGAGGCUCUGAUACACUAUAAACCUUCCAUUCAGAACCUGUGAUGGAGUCGAGUGUGUAGCCCUAGCUACUUGGGAGGUCAAGGGAAGAGGAUCACUUGAGCCCAGGAGUUUGAGACCAGCUUGAGCAAUGCGAACUGGAAAUAUCGACAAACAGCACUGAAGGCUCCUGGUCUACCACAGGAGGUGAUCUCUAGUGAAGAAGGUUGAGAUUUGCAUGCAGAAUUUCCAGAAUGCUGAAUAUCAGCACGGAUCACUGCAAAGAAGUUGGAACUCAUCUCACAUGAACUUCUCAGGUUCUCUUACAAGACCACCAACAUUCUUCAAACAUCAGUGAAAUAAAACAGGAGGAGGGUUUCGAGCUCUGGAUCCUCAGCCUGGAAAUGUCACAAUUUAAUCCCAAAGGUUUGCUGUGAAGUUGUAAGCAUGACAGUGUGAAACUCGACAGAUUAUUCUUGAAUUCUUUGUUUGUUUUCGUUGUGACCCGACUCUCAUAAAAUUUAUGUUUUCUUCCAAACCCCCAGGGUGUGUGGUCAUAUGACUUAAAUAGAGAAAAACAUUGUCAAAACAGUAUUGAGGAGUUAUCACUUUUACAUUGUUUUAAUUAAAGAAAAAGCCUUUCUAUCCAGGUCUAAUACCAUCAUUUUUAUGGGCAUGUUAAAGUAUCUAAUCUAAUACUGUAGUUAGUAGUAGUAUUUAGUAUUUUUAGUAUUAUUAUAGUUUUAUCUGUAUCUUAAAGAAAAAGUCAAUAAAUAUGAAAACAGAAAAAAAAA
RNAcentral lists this long non-coding RNA (995 nucleotides) under Homo sapiens (human). RNAcentral describes it as "long independently transcribed non-coding RNA 581 (LINC00581)". The record is from RNAcentral. Lineage: Eukaryota; Metazoa; Chordata; Mammalia; Primates; Hominidae.